GGAUGUAGGGCAAUCUGGCUGUGACAUCUGUCACACCGUAGAUCCCCAGGGUUGAUCAGGCUGAUGUAGCUGGCUAGGCAGGUGUCCCCUUCUUUCCUCACCACUCCACGUGCAUCCUUCUUGAAGCUGCACACUUGGGAGAAGAGAAUGAACAUCCCGGAUAGGAGAGGACUGUUCUUUGGUCAAGAGUAUACGAAUAGCCGCAUCCCCCUGCUAGAACCUCCAAACAAGCUCUCAAGAUAAAAAUAUGAGAGAAUCGUUAGCACAUAUGAAGGGCAAUUCAUGAAGACUCGAGUCCUGAAU
This is an unclassified non-coding RNA of 303 nucleotides. Its record names the gene 7SK. It matches the Rfam family "7SK RNA". From Rfam's summary of the family: 7SK was discovered as an abundant small nuclear RNA in the mid-70s but a possible function has only recently been suggested. Two independent studies have found that 7SK RNA binds the CDK9/cyclin T complex (known as elongation factor P-TEFb). The record is from Ensembl.